GCUCCGAUGGCAUAGUGGUUAGAGUGUCCGCCUCGGAUGCGGAAGGUCUGGGGUUCGAUCUCCGGUCGAGUCA
Molecule: non-coding RNA, 73 nt
Organism: Potamilus streckersoni
Lineage: Eukaryota; Metazoa; Mollusca; Bivalvia; Unionida; Unionidae
Source: the annotation of a GenBank genome assembly